GUGGGAGGGGGCUUGCUCCCGAUGGCGGUGGGUCAGUCUCUAUAUCUAUGACUGACCCACCGCUAUCGGGAGCAAGCCCCCUCCCAC
This 87-nucleotide unclassified non-coding RNA is filed under the name Pseudomonas synxantha. The record is from RNAcentral. Lineage: Bacteria; Pseudomonadati; Pseudomonadota; Gammaproteobacteria; Pseudomonadales; Pseudomonadaceae.